GACGAACGCUGGCGGCGUGCCUAAUACAUGCAAGUAGAACGCUGAAGCUUGGUGCUUGCACCGAGCGGAUGAGUUGCGAACGGGUGAGUAACGCGUAGGUAACCUGCCUGGUAGCGGGGGAUAACUAUUGGAAACGAUAGCUAAUACCGCAUAACAGUAGAUAUCGCAUGAUAGCUACUUGAAAGGUGCAAAUGCACCACUACCAGAUGGACCUGCGUUGUAUUAGCUAGUUGGUGAGGUAACGGCUCACCAAGGCAACGAUACAUAGCCGACCUGAGAGGGGGAUAGGCCACACUGGGACUGAGACACGGCCCAGACUCCUACGGGAGGCAGCAGGAGGGAAUAUUCGGCAAUGGACGGAAGGCUGACCGAGCAACGCCGCGUGAGUGAAGAAGGGUUUCGGAUCGUAAAGCUCUGUUGUAAGAGAAGAACGAGUGUGAGAGUGGAAAGUUCACACUGUGACGGUAUCUUACCAGAAAGGGACGGCUAACUACGUG
Molecule: ribosomal RNA, 497 nt
Filed under: uncultured bacterium
Lineage: Bacteria
Description: partial 16S ribosomal RNA
Rfam family: Bacterial small subunit ribosomal RNA
Source: RNAcentral